Molecule: long non-coding RNA, 493 nt
Filed under: Phoenix dactylifera (date palm)
Lineage: Eukaryota; Viridiplantae; Streptophyta; Magnoliopsida; Arecales; Arecaceae
Description: long non-coding RNA (PDAC_LNC021777)
Source: RNAcentral
GCAUAGAUCAGAGCCAAUUAAGAUAAUUUCAGAGCAUAACACAUCGAAUAUGAUUUCAAGAAGUUUUCUAAUUUGAUACCACAGAUAGUUUUCUAAUCAAGUAUAGGUGGAAUCUUCCUUAGGUUAAUACAAGAAGUACCACAAAUGAUAUUCAAGGAAACACAUGAGUGGAAAUCUAACCUCUCUUUAAUAAGUAUGAAAGCUUGUUCAUUUAAGACCUUUUGCCCAAUCUAUUAAGUAUUUUAUCAACAUGAGUGAGUAAAAGAUCAAAACUUAUAUAUUUGAAAGACAUAUCAUCAUGUUGGAUCAUUAAUUCUUAAUGACUUCAAGGUUCUUUUAUGAUAAUAAGACCAUUGGGGCACAAAUACCAAAAUAUGAAUUCAUGCAAUUUAUGAUUCAUCUUAGAGCUCUUUUAAAGACUUUCUUUUGUUCUUUUAGAAAAUAAGCACAAUUUGAUACAUAAAAAAAUAUGAAUUGGCACACAAUUUAAGUU